RNAcentral lists this ribosomal RNA (856 nucleotides) under Geoscypha violacea. Its description in RNAcentral is "partial large subunit ribosomal RNA". It matches the Rfam family "Eukaryotic large subunit ribosomal RNA", at positions 53 to 926 of the family's 3401-position model. Lineage: Eukaryota; Fungi; Ascomycota; Pezizomycetes; Pezizales; Pezizaceae. The record is from RNAcentral.
CGAGAAAAGAACCAACAGGGAUUGCCUUAGUAACGGCGAGUGAAGCGGCAAAAGCUCAGAUUUGAAAUCCGGCGUCAUUUUGGCGUCCGAGUUGUAAUCUGUAGAGGAGUAUUCGAGUGUGGAUUUGGCUUAAGUUCCUUGGAACAGGACGUCAUAGAGGGUGAGAACCCCGUUAACGGCCUACGUCUUAUGCUCAUGUGAAUCUCCUUCAACGAGUCGAGUUGUUUGGGAAUGCAGCUCUAAAUGGGUGGUAAAUUCCAUCUAAAGCUAAAUACUGGCAAGAGACCGAUAGCGCACAAGUAGAGUGAUCGAAAGAUGAAAAGAACUCUGAACAGAGAGUUAAAUAGUACGUGAAAUUGUUGAAAGGGAAGCACUUGCUACCAGACACGCCUGUAGUUGAUCAACCUCCAUUCUUGGUGGUGCACUCGGCUAUAGGUGGGUCAGCAUCAGUUACAACGGUGGGAUAAAGACUUUGGGAAUGUAGCUUCCUUCGGGAAGUGUUAUAGCCCUUGGUGUAAUACCAUCUGAUGUGACUGAGGCCCGCGCUUCGGCGAGGAUGCUGGCAUAAUGGUCGUAAGUGACCCGUCUUGAAACACGGACCAAGGAGUCUAACAUCUAUGCGAGUGUUUGGGCGUCAAAACCCUUACGCGGAAUGAAAGUGAAUGAAGGUGGGAACCGCAAGGUGCACCAUCGACCGAUCCUGAUGUUUUCGGAUGGAUUUGAGUAGGAGCAUAGCUGUUGGGACCCGAAAGAUGGUGAACUAUGCCUGAAUAGGGUGAAGCCAGAGGAAACUCUGGUGGAGGCUCGCAGCGGUUCUGACGUGCAAAUCGAUCGUCAAAUUUGGGUAUAGGGGCGA